CAGCAGCCACGGGAAUACAGAGGGUGCAAGCGUUAAUCGGAAUUACUGGGCGUAAAGCGAGCGUAGGUGGCUUGAUAAGUCAGAUGUGAAAUCCCCGGGCUUAACCUGGGAACUGCAUCUGAUACUGUUAGGCUAGAGUAGGUGAGAGGAAGGUAGAAUUCCAGGUGUAGCGGUGAAAUGCGUAGAGAUCUGGAGGAAUACCGAUGGCGAAGGCAGCCUUCUGGCAUCAUACUGACACUGAGGCUCGAAAGCGUGGGUAGCAAACAGGAUUAGAUACCCCAGUAGUCCCUGUCUCUUAUAC
This 301-nucleotide ribosomal RNA is filed under the name uncultured bacterium. Its description in RNAcentral is "partial 16S ribosomal RNA". It matches the Rfam family "Bacterial small subunit ribosomal RNA", at positions 509 to 807 of the family's 1533-position model. The record is from RNAcentral.